UGACCAGGGCUACACACGUACUACAAUGGCAGGUACAAAGGGCAGCCACUUAGCGAUAAGGCGCGAAUCCCAUAAACCUGUCUCAGUCCGGAUUGGAGUCUGCAACUCGACUCCAUGAAGUUGGAAUCGCUAGUAAUCGUGGAUCAGAAUGUCACGGUGAAUACGUUCCCGGGUCUU
RNAcentral lists this ribosomal RNA (177 nucleotides) under uncultured Desulfopila sp. RNAcentral's name for it is "partial 16S ribosomal RNA". It matches the Rfam family "Bacterial small subunit ribosomal RNA", at positions 1205 to 1382 of the family's 1533-position model. Lineage: Bacteria; Pseudomonadati; Thermodesulfobacteriota; Desulfobulbia; Desulfobulbales; Desulfocapsaceae. The record is from RNAcentral.